AUGAGGCACUAUUUUAUGGAGAAUCCCACAUACCCGGAGUCGUACUUUCAUCGCCGGUUUAGGAUGAACACCGAGUUGUUCAGACGCAUUGCAGAGAAACUAGCGAGCCAUGACCAGUUUUUUCAGCAAAGGAGGAAUUCCGCCGGAGAGCUCGAGCAUAGCACCUUUCAGAAGGUGACAACCGCUUUACGUAUGUUGGCAUAUGGUAUCCCGACUUAUCUAGUUGAUGAUCACUUGGCCAUGGGCGAGAGCCAAGCCAUCAUGUGUGUCAAGCGCUUCGCAGUCAAAAUUGUGCAAGUGUUUGGCCAGGAGUACUUGAGAUCUCCCAAUGCUGACGACACUGCAAGGCUAUUGAAGAUGAACAAAGCUCGCGACUUCCCAGGUAUGCUUGGCUCAAUAUAUUGCAUGCAUUGGAGUUGGAAGAAUUGUCCAAAGGCAUGA
Molecule: ribosomal RNA, 441 nt
Filed under: Triticum aestivum (bread wheat)
Lineage: Eukaryota; Viridiplantae; Streptophyta; Magnoliopsida; Poales; Poaceae
Description: partial small subunit ribosomal RNA
Source: RNAcentral